UACGUAGGGGGCAAGCGUUGUCCGGAUUUAUUGGGCGUAAAGAGCGUGUAGGCGGCCAGGUAGGUCCGCUGUGAAAACUCGAGGCUCAACCUCGAGAUGUCGGCGGAAACCAUCUGGCUAGAGUCCGGAAGAGGAGAGUGGAAUUCCUGGUGUAGCGGUGAAAUGCGCAGAUAUCAGGAAGAAUACCCGUGGCGAAGGCGGCUCUCUGGGACGGUACUGACGCUGAGACGCGAAAGCGUGGGGAGCGAACAGG
RNAcentral lists this ribosomal RNA (253 nucleotides) under uncultured bacterium. Its description in RNAcentral is "partial 16S ribosomal RNA". It matches the Rfam family "Bacterial small subunit ribosomal RNA", at positions 524 to 776 of the family's 1533-position model. The record is from RNAcentral.